Molecule: non-coding RNA, 121 nt
Organism: Picea glauca (white spruce)
Lineage: Eukaryota; Viridiplantae; Streptophyta; Pinopsida; Pinales; Pinaceae
Source: Rfam
GCAUGCCUACAACAUAGUGUUAAUGCAUUGGAUCCCAUUAGAACUCCACAGUUAAGCGUGCUCAAGCUAGAGUAGUACUGGAAUAGGUGACCGCCCGAGAAGUCCUAGAGUUUUAUAUGCC